GGAUGUGAGGGCGAUCUGGCUGCGACAUCUGUCACCCCAUUGAUCGCCAGGGUUGAUUCGGCUGAUCUGGCUGGCUAGGCGGGUGUCCCCUUCCUCCCUCACCGCUCCAUGUGCGUCCCUCCCGAAGCUGCGCGCUCGGUCGAAGAGGACGACCUUCCCCGAUAGAGGAGAGGACCGUUCUCCGGUCAAGGGUAUACGAGUAGCUGCGCUCCCCUGCUAGAACCUCCAAACAAGCUCGCAAGGUCCAUUAGAGGUCUCAGCCCUUUAGAAAACAGAAGGAAUCCGUUUUUCUAACAUAUCUCUUAGGAACAAC
Molecule: unclassified non-coding RNA, 313 nt
Organism: Mustela putorius furo (domestic ferret)
Lineage: Eukaryota; Metazoa; Chordata; Mammalia; Carnivora; Mustelidae
Gene: 7SK
Rfam family: 7SK RNA
About the family: 7SK was discovered as an abundant small nuclear RNA in the mid-70s but a possible function has only recently been suggested. Two independent studies have found that 7SK RNA binds the CDK9/cyclin T complex (known as elongation factor P-TEFb).
Source: Ensembl